CCUACGGGAGGCAGCAGUGGGGAAUAUUGCACAAUGGGGGAAACCCUGAUGCAGCGAUGCCGCGUGGAGGAAGAAGGUUUUCGGAUUGUAAACUCCUUUUAUCAGGGACGAUAAUGACGGUACCUGAAGAAAAAGCUCCGGCUAACUACGUGCCAGCAGCCGCGGUAAUACGUAGGGAGCGAGCGUUGUCCGGAAUUAUUGGGUUUAAAGGGUGCGUAGGCGGAAUGCCAAGUCAGCGGUAAAAUCGCGGGGCUCAACCUCGCUCCGCCGUUGAAACUGGCGUUCUUGAGUGGGCGAGAAGUAUGCGGAAUGCGUGGUGUAGCGGUGAAAUGCAUAGAUAUCACGCAGAACUCCGAUUGCGAAGGCAGCAUAUCGGCGCCCAACUGACGCUGAAGCACGAAAGCGUGGGUAUCGAACAGGAUUAGAUACCCCAGUAGUC
RNAcentral lists this ribosomal RNA (439 nucleotides) under uncultured bacterium. RNAcentral describes it as "partial 16S ribosomal RNA". It matches the Rfam family "Bacterial small subunit ribosomal RNA", at positions 338 to 795 of the family's 1533-position model. The record is from RNAcentral.